AGCGAACGUUAGCGGCGGGCCUAACACAUGCAAGUCGAACGCGAAAGGUCUUCGGACUGAGUAGAGUGGCGCACGGGUGAGUAACACGUAGGUAAUCUACCCUUUGGCGGGGGAUAACGUUCCGAAAGGAGCGCUAAUACCGCAUAAGACCACGGAGUCUCCGGACGCUGUGGGAAAAGGUGGCCUCUUCUUGAAAGCUACCACCGAAGGAUGAGCCUGCGUCCCAUCAGCUAGUUGGUAAGGUAAUGGCUUACCAAGGCGAAGACGGGUAGCUGGUUUGAGAGAAUGAUCAGCCACACUGGCACUGGAACACGGGCCAGACUCCUACGGGAGGCAGCAGUGAAGAAUAUUGGGCAAUGGGCGAAAGCCUGACCCAGCCACGCCGCGUGAGUGAUGAAGGCCCUCGGGUCGUAAAGCUCUUUCGGACGGAAAGAAAUCGGCGGGGUGAAUAAUCCUGCUGGAUGACGGUACCGUAAGAAGAAGCACCGGCUAACUACGUGCCAGCAGCCG
Molecule: ribosomal RNA, 510 nt
Filed under: uncultured bacterium
Lineage: Bacteria
Description: bacterial SSU rRNA
Rfam family: Bacterial small subunit ribosomal RNA
Source: RNAcentral